GAUGAACGCUGGCGGCGUGCCUAAUACAUGCAAGUCGAGCGAACGGACGAGAAGCUUGCUUCUCUGAUGUUAGCGGCGGACGGGUGAGUAACACGUGGAUAACCUACCUAUAAGACUGGGAUAACUUCGGGAAACCGGAGCUAAUACCGGAUAAUAUUUUGAACCGCAUGGUUCAAAAGUGAAAGACGGUCUUGCUGUCACUUAUAGAUGGAUCCGCGCUGCAUUAGCUAGUUGGUAAGGUAACGGCUUACCAAGGCAACGAUGCAUAGCCGACCUGAGAGGGUGAUCGCCCACACUGGAACUGAGACGCGGUCCAGACUCCUAAGGGAGGCAGCAGUAGGGAAUCUUCCGCAAUGGGCGAAAGCCUGACGGAGCAGCGCCGCGUGAGUGAUGAAGAUCUUCGGAUCGUAAAGCUCUGUUAUUAGGGGAGAACAUAUGUGUAAGUAACUGUACACAUCUUGACGGUACCUAAUCAGAAAGCCACGGCUAACUACGUG
RNAcentral lists this ribosomal RNA (497 nucleotides) under uncultured bacterium. Its description in RNAcentral is "partial 16S ribosomal RNA". It matches the Rfam family "Bacterial small subunit ribosomal RNA", at positions 28 to 507 of the family's 1533-position model. The record is from RNAcentral.